GAAAUGCGAUAAGUAAUGUGAAUUGCAGAAUUCCGUGAAUCAUCGAAUCUUUGAACGCACAUUGCACCCUCUGGCAUUCCGGGGGGGAUGCCUGUCCGAGCGUCAUUACGCACCCUCAAGCCCGGCUUGUGUGAUGGGCCCCGGCGUCUCGUUCGCGAGACGGGCCCGAAAGGCAGCGGCGGCGUCGACCCGAUGAGCCCGAGCGUAUGGGGACUUCUGUCACACGUUCGCGGUGCGGACCGGCGCCUGCUUGACUUUUCUGAUUAUCCAGGUUGACCUCGGAUCAGGUAGGGAUACCCGCUGAACUUAAGC
Molecule: unclassified non-coding RNA, 312 nt
Filed under: plant metagenome
Description: partial contains 5.8S ribosomal RNA, internal transcribed spacer 2, and large subunit ribosomal RNA
Rfam family: 5.8S ribosomal RNA (bases 1-105)
Source: RNAcentral